This 426-nucleotide ribosomal RNA is filed under the name uncultured bacterium. RNAcentral's name for it is "partial 16S ribosomal RNA". It matches the Rfam family "Bacterial small subunit ribosomal RNA", at positions 354 to 796 of the family's 1533-position model. The record is from RNAcentral.
GUGAGGAAUUUUCCGCAAUGGGCGAAAGCCUGACGGAGCAAUGCCGCGUGAAGGAUGAAGGCCUAUGGGUUGUAAACUUCUUUUCUCAGAAAAGAAUUAUGACGGUAUCUGAGGAAUAAGCAUCGGCUAACUCUGUGCCAGCAGCCGCGGUAAGACAGAGGAUGCAAGCGUUAUCCGGAAUGAUUGGGCGUAAAGCGUCUGUAGGUUGUUUAAAAAGUAUUCUGUCAAAGAUUAGGGCUUAACCCUAGAUAGGCAGAAUAAACUUUUAAGCUAGAGUUUGGUAGAGGCAGAGGGAAUUCCCGGUGGAGCGGUGAAAUGCGUAGAUAUCGGGAGGAACACCGAAGGCGAAGGCACUCUGCUGGGCCAAUACUAACACUGAGAGACGAAAGCGAGGGGAGCAAAUGGGAUUAGAUACCCGUGUAGUCC